GCCAGUGUGGCGUAAUGGUUUGAGCAUUGGACUAUGACUCUGGAGACCAGGGUUUGAAUCCCUGCUGGGCCA
RNAcentral lists this transfer RNA (72 nucleotides) under Phrynosoma platyrhinos (Desert horned lizard). Its description in RNAcentral is "tRNA-OTHER". It matches the Rfam family "tRNA". From Rfam's summary of the family: Transfer RNA (tRNA) molecules are approximately 80 nucleotides in length. Lineage: Eukaryota; Metazoa; Chordata; Lepidosauria; Squamata; Phrynosomatidae. The record is from RNAcentral.